AUUGAACGCUGGCGGAAUGCUUUACACAUGCAAGUCGAACGGCAGCACGGACUUCGGUCUGGUGGCGAGUGGCGAACGGGUGAGUAAUGUAUCGGAACGUGCCCAGUCGUGGGGGAUAACGUAGUGAAAAUUACGCUAAUACCGCAUACGAUCUAUGGAUGAAAGCGGGGGAUCGCAAGACCUCGCGCGAUUGGAGCGGCCGAUAGCAGAUUAGGUAGUUGGAGGGGUUAAGGCCCACCAAGCCAACGAUCUGUAGCUGGUCUGAGAGGACGAACAGCAACGCUGGAACGGGUACACGGUCCAGAGUCCUACGGGAGGCAGCAGUGGGAAAUUUUGGACAAUGGGCGAAAGCCUGAUCCAGCCAUUCCGCGUGCAGGUUGGAGGCCCUCGGGUUGUAAACUGCUUUUGUACAGAACGAAAAGGUUUCUACUAAUACUAGGAGCUCAUGACGGUACUGUAAGAAUAAGCACCGGCUAACUACGUGCCAGCCGCCGCCGUAA
Molecule: ribosomal RNA, 500 nt
Filed under: uncultured bacterium
Lineage: Bacteria
Description: partial 16S ribosomal RNA
Rfam family: Bacterial small subunit ribosomal RNA
Source: RNAcentral